AGUGAACGCUGGCGGUAGGCCUAACACAUGCAAGUCGAACGGCAGCACAGUAAGAGCUUGCUCUUACGGGUGGCGAGUGGCGGACGGGUGAGGAAUACAUCGGAAUCUACUUUUUCGUGGGGGAUAACGUAGGGAAACUUACGCUAAUACCGCAUACGACCUACGGGUGAAAGCAGGGGAUCUUCGGACCUUGCGCGAUUGAAUGAGCCGAUGUCGGAUUAGCUAGUUGGCGGGGUAAAGGCCCACCAAGGCGACGAUACGUAGCUGGUCUGAGAGGGUGAUCAGCCACACUGGAACUGAGACACGGUCCAGACUCCUACGGGAGGCAGCAGUGGGGAAUAUUGGACAAUGGGCGCAAGCCUGAUCCAGCCAUACCGCGUGGGUGAAGAAGGCCUUCGGGUUGUAAAGCCCUUUUGUUGGGAAAGAAAAGCAGCAGGUUAAUACCCCGCUGUUCUGACGGUACCCAAAGAAUAAGCACCGGCUAACUUCGUG
Molecule: ribosomal RNA, 492 nt
Filed under: uncultured bacterium
Lineage: Bacteria
Description: partial 16S ribosomal RNA
Rfam family: Bacterial small subunit ribosomal RNA
Source: RNAcentral